UUUGAGGUCUAUCCCGAUGGCACUUUGCUGUAAGUUCAUAUCGUUGGAAACGCCUCAAAGAUUAAACUUGCAGUUAGCUUUGCUUGCUGAAACCUUGUUUUUAGUAGGGUAUUGACUGCAUGACAAUU
Small nucleolar RNA from Rana temporaria (common frog), 128 nucleotides. The record is from RefSeq and is a predicted model, not a curated record. Lineage: Eukaryota; Metazoa; Chordata; Amphibia; Anura; Ranidae.